UAUCCAAAACUUCACUUUUCACAGCCCUGUUGCCGAGACUCUGGUCGAGUGGUCCUCCAGUUCUAAGUUCCAGGUAGUUGUGCCUGUCUCCCUCCUCGGGAAGCUUUCUUCGAGAUUUUUGUCUUUUUGCAUUUUUUGCUUCCUUCGCUUCCUUUGGACCUUCUUUCUUCUUCUUCUUCUUCAUCCUCCGACCUCAGUUCUAGCAUCAUGACCAGAACCUCUCCACGAGGAAGUCAGUCGGGGAACCCGACCGACGACUCACGAUCGACCCCGGAGGUGGAGGUUUCUUCACUUU
Molecule: long non-coding RNA, 295 nt
Filed under: Elaeis guineensis (African oil palm)
Lineage: Eukaryota; Viridiplantae; Streptophyta; Magnoliopsida; Arecales; Arecaceae
Description: long non-coding RNA (EGUI_LNC016933)
Source: RNAcentral